Molecule: transfer RNA, 74 nt
Filed under: Symphyocladia marchantioides
Lineage: Eukaryota; Rhodophyta; Florideophyceae; Ceramiales; Rhodomelaceae
Description: tRNA-Ile
Rfam family: tRNA
About the family: Transfer RNA (tRNA) molecules are approximately 80 nucleotides in length.
Source: RNAcentral
GGGCUAUUAGCUCAGUUGGUUAGAGCACACCCCUGAUAAGGGUGAGGCCCCAGGUUCAAAUCCUGGAUAGCCCA